GCGCUCCCGGAGCUGCAAACCCGGGCUUCUUCCUUCCUUCCUUCCUUUUUUUUUUUUUUUAAAUAUUCUUUCUUUUUUAGUCCUUUUCUCCCUUUCCUCCUGCCCUGUUUCCUUUUAGUAUUUUCUUUGUGAUUGUUUUUGCAAGUUUGUUUUAAAAGUUCACUGCAUGCUUUCUUUUCUUGUAGACCGGGAGACCGUGAUCUCACCCUGACGAUGGAUGCAGAUGAGGACAAAGAGGAGUAAAGAGGAGCCACCUAACAAAGGAAUCCUGACUCCCUGAAUAGCCAUACACACCCAGCAACAACUAUAAAGAGAGGGGGUCCCUGAGCCAGGUGCAUGGGGAAUCGAUACUGACCUGCCUCUUCUCUUCCAGCACCGCUUCUCCAGGGAAAUGGUUUUCCUGCCUGGGAUGGAGAAAAUUUCAUUAAAGGAAACCCAAGAUAGAAAAGGAGGGAAGU
Molecule: long non-coding RNA, 458 nt
Filed under: Heterocephalus glaber (naked mole-rat)
Lineage: Eukaryota; Metazoa; Chordata; Mammalia; Rodentia; Bathyergidae
Description: lncRNA (ENSHGLG00000047850.1)
Source: RNAcentral